UAUGUUAAUAGGAAGGCAAAACGUGGGAACAUAAAUUGUCAAGCAUGCAAUAAAAUAAUUGAAUUAUUAUUCCCAAUUCCUUCCCUUAUAAAGGUUCUUUGGCAUGUUUUGUACAAAAAAAUUUUCAUGAACAGAGUUUCAUUUGAUUGCUAAUCAAUUCUGAUUUUAUGUUCCUCUGGGUUUUGUACUUUUUAGGGAAAUAGUCUCCUGAGGAUCG
Molecule: unclassified non-coding RNA, 217 nt
Filed under: Hevea brasiliensis (rubber tree)
Lineage: Eukaryota; Viridiplantae; Streptophyta; Magnoliopsida; Malpighiales; Euphorbiaceae
Source: RNAcentral